This 464-nucleotide ribosomal RNA is filed under the name uncultured bacterium. RNAcentral describes it as "bacterial SSU rRNA". It matches the Rfam family "Bacterial small subunit ribosomal RNA", at positions 65 to 524 of the family's 1533-position model. The record is from RNAcentral.
AACGGUAACAGGGAGCUUGCUCCGCUGACGAGUGGCGAACGGGUGAGUAAUACAUCGGAACGUGCCCAGUAAUGGGGGAUAGCUCGGCGAAAGCCGGAUUAAUACCGCAUACGCCGUGAGGGGGAAAGUGGGGGACCGCAAGGCCUCACGUUAUUGGAGCGGCCGAUGGCUGAUUAGCUAGUUGGUAGGGUAAAGGCCUACCAAGGCGACGAUCAGUAGCUGGUCUGAGAGGACGAUCAGCCACACUGGGAUUGAGACACGGCCCAGACUCAUACGGGAGGCAGCAGUGGGGAAUUUUGGACAAUGGGGGAAACCCUGAUCCAGCAAUGCCGCGUGUGCGAAGAAGGCCUUCGGGUUGUAAAGCACUUUUGUCAGGGAAGAAAUCCUUUGGGCUAAUACCCUAGGAGGAUGACGGUACCUGAAGAAUAAGCACCGGCUAACUACGUGCCAGCAGCCGCGGUAAU